Molecule: ribosomal RNA, 427 nt
Filed under: uncultured bacterium
Lineage: Bacteria
Description: bacterial SSU rRNA
Rfam family: Bacterial small subunit ribosomal RNA
Source: RNAcentral
UGGGGAAUUUUGGACAAUGGGCGCAAGCCUGAUCCAGCAAUGCCGCGUGUGUGAAGAAGGCCUUCGGGUUGUAAAGCACUUUUGUCCGGAAAGAAAUCCGUCUGGCUAAUACCCGGACGGGAUGACGGUACCGGAAGAAUAAGCACCGGCUGACUACGUGCCAGCAGCCGCGGUAAUAAGUAGGGUGCGAGCGUUAAUCGGAAUUACUGGGCGUAAAGGGCGCGUAGGCGGCGCGGUAAGUCACUUGUGAAAUCUCUGAGCUUAACUCAGAACGGCCAAGUGAUACUGCUGUGCUAGAGUGCGGAAGAGGCAACCGGAAUUCUUGGUGUAGCGGUGAAAUGCGUAGAUAUCAAGAGGAACACCUGAGGCGAAGGCGGGUUGCUGGGCCGACACUGACGCUGAUGCGCGAAAGCCAGGGGAGCAAACG